Molecule: transfer RNA, 63 nt
Filed under: Tevnia jerichonana
Lineage: Eukaryota; Metazoa; Annelida; Polychaeta; Sabellida; Siboglinidae
Description: tRNA-Pro
Source: RNAcentral
CAGAAAGUAGUUUAAUUAAAACCCUGCCUUUGGGAGGCAGAAUUCCACUCCCUGGCUCUCUGA